Molecule: ribosomal RNA, 377 nt
Filed under: uncultured Desulfobulbus sp.
Lineage: Bacteria; Pseudomonadati; Thermodesulfobacteriota; Desulfobulbia; Desulfobulbales; Desulfobulbaceae
Description: bacterial SSU rRNA
Rfam family: Bacterial small subunit ribosomal RNA
Source: RNAcentral
GGGGUGCUUCCAUCUGGAAGAAUCUGGAGACAGGUGCUGCAUGGCUGUCGUCAGCUCGUGUCGUGAGAUGUUGGGUUAAGUCCCGCAACGAGCGCAACCCUUGCCUUUAGUUGCCAGCAGUUCGGCUGGGCACUCUAAAGGGACUGCCGGUGUUAAACCGGAGGAAGGUGGGGAUGACGUCAAGUCCUCAUGGCCUUUAUGACCAGGGCUACACACGUACUACAAUGGCCGAUACAAAGGGCAGCGACACUGCGAGGUGAAGCCAAUCCCGUAAAAUCGGUCUCAGUCCGGAUUGGAGUCUGCAACUCGACUCCAUGAAGUUGGAAUCGCUAGUAAUCGUGGAUCAGCAUGCCACGGUGAAUACGUUCCCGGGCCUU